This is a long non-coding RNA of Alnus glutinosa, 2191 nucleotides long. RefSeq lists it as uncharacterized. The transcript is spliced from 2 exons. Lineage: Eukaryota; Viridiplantae; Streptophyta; Magnoliopsida; Fagales; Betulaceae. The record is from RefSeq and is a predicted model, not a curated record.
UCUCUCUCUCCGUUGAGCUAUUCAUGGGUUCUGUUAAUCAUUUUUAUGGGUAUAUUGCGUUGGUUGGUUGUGAAGUUUUUCUACAGGUUUGGGUUGAUUAUAUAUUUCGUUCUGCAGAAUUGUUCUAGUUUGGUUAAACUGGAGGUUAUUGUACUGGGUGAAGUUUUGGUUUCUGUUUUGUUAUGUUUUGCAUUGGUCAGAUUUUUUUUUUGGGGUCCGCUGUGUUGGUCGAAAUAUGGGUGUUUAGGGGAAAAUUUUAGCUUUCUCUGCGGGGGCUGCUCGGCGAAAAUGGGUCAAAGGGAGAAAUUUUAUUGGGUUUCUCUUGUUUUCAGUUGGGGUCAGAAUGGGAUCAAAGGUUCACAGAAUGUGAUUGAUAAUUAGUUAUUUUGUUUGUCGAAUUGGGUAUAUUUGUCUUAAUUUGAAGUGAUGAAUAUCAUAAUUUUUGUUGGAAAUGUACUUUCAUGGCAAUAGAUUAGGAUAUGAUUGGUUAUGUCUUUGUCUUGUAAAUUUUUAUUAAAGCUAUGGUGGUGGGGCUUACCUUUUUCAUUGCUGCAAAGAUAGAGUUAAAAAAAUGCUUGUUUCUUGAGUGCCAAAAGGCAUUCUAACUGUUAUAGAGCUUUAUUUUUUAUUUGCGUGUGUGUUUGGUGAUGAUUAGUUUACUGAAGAUUGGAGGCCAAGAAAAUAGCACUAAGUAGUGGUAUUUGUUUUGUUAAAUUCUAGAAGCUUGUAGAUGGUCCAGCACAAGGUUUGGUUAUGAAUAUGGUGAUGACUGGGAAUUGCUUCUUUGGUUAUGACUUAUUUUAUGUAUUGUCGUGAAUAUUCUGCUUUGGCAUGCUUGUUGCUUUAAUAGAGAAGGGGCUUGGCAUUUUACUCUUUGUUGUGGGGUUGUCAUGGAUUGGCCGACCAGAAUUUUGAAUUGAUUGUUGUUAAAUGUCCUUUUCAUUCUCCUAAUUUUGUUGAUGCUAGUGUCACUAGUGAAUGUAGCCAAGUGGUUGAUGCUACAUCCACGUUAAUAAAAUUUUCCAGAAUUUAAUAGCUAUUUUAUACAAUAGCCCUUGUAUUAUUUUUUUAGUGUAAGUGUUUCGUUUGAUAAUAAUUUUCUGAAAAUUGUUUUCAAAACUGUGCAUCACAAUAUCCAUUUUUUGAAAAUUUCAUUUGUCAAAUGGCUUGAGAGUUCUUAGUAUAUGUUGGAAUGGAUAGCUCCAGUACAAUGCAUAUAUUCAUAAUGCCUGAGCACAAUUACUUGUGGUAAUUGUGUAUUUGGGUAAUGCAUCAUUCUUGCGGUACAAUUACUUAAUCAUAGCUAUCCUUUCACUGUUCAAAAUGUUAAUUGGCUUUUCAAUGCAGUCUGUUAAUGGUAAUUGUCGUGUCAAAAAAUUUAAAAGAACUUUUGACUUCGUGUGGCCGAAGUUCAUUUUCAUGAUUCAGUGCCUUUAAGUUGUUUGACGAAUUGGCUGUUCCAAACAAAAAUUGAAAGGGCUGCUUACGUGGAUUUUUUCCGGACUGACAUAUUUGAGUUGCUGAAAUGAGUUAUUUAGGUGGAUAUACGGGUCGAGGAAUGAUACUUCUAUUUUUGAAAACUGGAGACUGGGUUUUUUGAGUGGGCUGAUCAUGAAAUGGCCACUUGUGAAACAAGAUUAAUGGAACAAUUGACGGACACAGAAGAAGUAAUGCGAGCUGAAAUUGCUAGGCAAGAAACUGACAAAAUACAAGGCGAAUAUGGAGAAGCACUAUGUCCAGAUUCGGCUGCUGUUAGAGUAGUACCGCACAAGGGAUAAGAAUUACGCUUUAAAGAAACCCCAAAGGAUUGGUUCUAGUGGUAAAGGUUUUGGUCUUUAUGGUAGUUCCAUGAGGUUUAAGGUUCGAAUUCCCUUGGGUGUAAACAAUUCUUUGUAGCCAGCUUGCCGGCAAAGCUGGAGGGGCACUUUACGUGGGUUCGAGAUUCACCUAAUUGGGGUGGGUAUACGAAGUGGCCCUACCUUAAAGGGGUUCUUCGUCAUCAAAAAAGAAUUUCGCUUUAAAGAUGUGUUGGGCUGCUGUUGUUUUUGUUAUUUUUUAUUACAACAAUACUAGUAUAAUAAGAUGAUGUUAAGAUUGAGUGAGAACAAUUUACUUUACGGUGGAUGCCAUGCUCUAUGAUGUUCUGUUUGGACACAUGUUUUUGAAUCAUUUUAAAGCUAGCUUUUUAACA